UACGGGGGGGGCAAGCGUUGUUCGGAAUUACUGGGCGUAAAGGGCUCGUAGGCGGCCAACUAAGUCAGACGUGAAAUCCCUCGGCUUAACCGGGGAACUGCGUCUGAUACUGGAUGGCUCGAGUUUGGGAGAGGGAUGCGGAAUUCCAGGUGUAGCGGUGAAAUGCGUAGAUAUCUGGAGGAACACCGGUGGCGAAGGCGGCAUCCUGGACCAACACUGACGCUGAUGAGCGAAAGCCAGGGGAGCAAACGGGG
Molecule: ribosomal RNA, 254 nt
Filed under: uncultured bacterium
Lineage: Bacteria
Description: partial 16S ribosomal RNA
Rfam family: Bacterial small subunit ribosomal RNA
Source: RNAcentral